UAGGGAAUCUUCCGCAAUGGGCGAAAGCCUGACGGAGCAACGCCGCGUGAGUGAUGAAGGUCUUCGGAUCGUAAAACUCUGUUCUUAGGGAAUAACAAAUGUGUAAGUAACUAUGCACGUCUUGACGGUACCUAAUCAGAAAGCCACGGCUAACUACGUUCCAGCAGCCGCGGUAAUACGUAGGUGGCAAGCGUUUUCCGGAAUUCUUGGCCGUAACGCGCGCGUAGGCGGUUUUUUAAGUCUGAUGUGAAAGCCAACGGCUCAACCGAGGAGGGUAAUUGGAAACUGGAAAACUUGAGUGCAGAAGAGGAAAGUGGAAUUCCAUGUGUAGCGGUGAAAUGCGCAGAGAUAUGGAGGAACACCAGUGGCGAAGGCGACUUUCUGGUCUGUAACUGACGCUGAUGUGCGAAAGCGUGGGGAUCAAACAGG
RNAcentral lists this ribosomal RNA (429 nucleotides) under Actinomycetes bacterium. RNAcentral's name for it is "Actinobacteria bacterium partial 16S ribosomal RNA". It matches the Rfam family "Bacterial small subunit ribosomal RNA", at positions 355 to 776 of the family's 1533-position model. Lineage: Bacteria; Bacillati; Actinomycetota; Actinomycetes. The record is from RNAcentral.